AUUGAACGCUGGCGGCAGGCCUAACACAUGCAAGUCUAACGAGUGGCGGACGGGUUAGUAAUGUCUGGGAAACUGCCUGCUGGAGGGGGAUAACUACUGGAAACGGUAGCUAAUACCGCAUACCAUCAGAUGUGCCCAGAUGGGAUUAGCUAGUUGGUGGGGUAACGGCUCACCAAGGCGAUGAUCCCUAGCUGGUCUGAGAGGAUGACCGGCCAGACUGGAACUGAGACACGGUCCAGAAUACUACGGGAGGCAGCAGUGGGGAAUAUGGCACAAUGGGAGCAAGCCUGAUGGAGUCAUGCCGCGUGUAUGAGGAAGGCCUUAGGGUUGUAAAGGACUUUCAGCGGGGAGGCGUUACCCGCAGAAGAAGCACCGGCUAACUCCGUGCCAGCAGCCGCGGUAAUUC
This 406-nucleotide ribosomal RNA is filed under the name uncultured bacterium. RNAcentral describes it as "partial 16S ribosomal RNA". It matches the Rfam family "Bacterial small subunit ribosomal RNA", at positions 30 to 526 of the family's 1533-position model. The record is from RNAcentral.